GUUCUCUAUCAAAAAGAAGCUACAAGAAAAUUCUAGAGAAAAGAAAGGGGAGAAACUUGAAGCUAGAGAGAGAGGGAGCUCAGAUUUGGGAGAAACAAAGCCCAAAACGUUAUCAAACUGCCUCGAAGUUUCAGCUGCACUAAGGAGGUUUCCGAGGUGCAAUUUUGGCUAGUUUUGGCCAAUUUCGAGUAAGGUUAAGGAGUAUCAAGGCAAUGCCGGAUUCCUAUUAAUCCUGAAAAAGGUACAUGCGCGCGCUUUGGGGAUCCGCCAGCUUAAGAUUCCACUCAGUAAAUUUGGAAGAAGCUCCAUUGAAUAGGAGCCAAGCUUUGGUACUAAACCUUCUAUGUAUAUAUUUAUUUGAUUACGGGUACGGUGGGGGCCUUGUCCCGCAUUAUGUUAUUGUUCUUACUCUUAGAGGUCUGUAGAUAUGUAUGUGGGUUGUAUAUGUAUGCGUGUAAGGUUGUGUCUAUAUGUUAUGAUAGCC
Molecule: long non-coding RNA, 484 nt
Organism: Solanum dulcamara
Lineage: Eukaryota; Viridiplantae; Streptophyta; Magnoliopsida; Solanales; Solanaceae
Exons: 4
Source: RefSeq, a predicted model, not a curated record